GGCCUCCCCGUUCGCCUCCCAGAGGCCGCCACUUUCUUCAGGGCUAUCAGAUGAAGGCAGCAACGAAAACACCACCACAAGACCAACUUCAGGCUGGAGCUGAUGAUGCCACACAGCAAAUCAGCGAGAAAAAAGAAAAUAGACUCUACUUAGAAAUGAAACUCAACUAAAGGUAAAAGUUGUCAGGAACAUCUCCAAGAAAGCCAGAGUCAGCCUCUAAACUUUGCAUCAAGAACGCAAUGGCUUCCCUGAGGGCCCAGGGACGCGUGGCAGCUGUGAGGCAGCCCCUUCUCUGCUGUCGAGGAACUGGACACUUCUCCUGUCCCUUCCCACAAGGUAUAAUAUUAGGCAGAAACCCAAUAUAAAAAGAAAAGCAGAGUUGUUGUAGAUUCAUCGAGGGUUGGCGACCUGGUUCCAAUGAGCCAUCUCCCUGUUCCGACAGGGGCUUCCUGGAGCUCCUGCAACCCCAGGCAUUAGUUCCGGUGCAGUUCUAGGAUCAGAUCAAUUCACUCGACAACAAGAGAAACAAAUGGAGAUUCCUACACAAAGACUUUCAAGCACAAAGAAAUCCUGCUGCCUGUAAAGCGGAGCUGCCUCAGCCCUUGAUGAACGACAGAAAAUACCACCUACUGCCAGACCUCAACGCCUCACAAAACUCUCACCCACCUACUGCUUUUAGCUCACAUUCCAGGAAUUCAGAUGAAGUGAAGUGCUCUCAUGGGGACCAGGCAUGGUUAUGCCAGUCCACUGCCCUGCAAGCCUCAAGGGAAGCCAACUGCCCUUCAGCAAGUCACACCUGCCUUGGUGGAGG
Molecule: long non-coding RNA, 811 nt
Filed under: Homo sapiens (human)
Lineage: Eukaryota; Metazoa; Chordata; Mammalia; Primates; Hominidae
Description: novel transcript
Source: RNAcentral